AAGAGAUUUUUACCUUCCAUCACAGUGAGGAGGAGACUCACUGUGAUGGAUGUCUGUGUGAAUUGAGUUGGUUGUGUGUCUUGUAUAAUUGUUUCUUUUUGUUGUAUGGCUGCAGAAACCCAAGUUCCUAACGGAAAAAUAAAAUUCAUUGUAUUGU
Molecule: long non-coding RNA, 157 nt
Organism: Amblyraja radiata (thorny skate)
Lineage: Eukaryota; Metazoa; Chordata; Chondrichthyes; Rajiformes; Rajidae
Exons: 2
Source: RefSeq, a predicted model, not a curated record